Molecule: ribosomal RNA, 467 nt
Filed under: uncultured bacterium
Lineage: Bacteria
Description: partial 16S ribosomal RNA
Rfam family: Bacterial small subunit ribosomal RNA
Source: RNAcentral
GACGAACGCUGGCGGCGUGCUUAACACAUGCAAGUCGAACGGAAAGGCCCUGCUUUUGUGGGGUGCUCGAGUGGCGAACGGGUGAGUAACACGUGAGUAACCUGCCCUUGACUUUGGGAUAACUUCAGGAAACUGGGGCUAAUACCGGAUAGGAGCUCCUGCUGCAUGGUGGGGGUUGGAAAGUUUCGGCGGUUGGGGAUGGACUCGCGGCUUAUCAGCUUGUUGGUGGGGUAGUGGCUUACCAAGGCUUUGACGGGUAGCCGGCCUGAGAGGGUGACCGGCCACAUUGGGACUGGGAUACGGCCCAGACUCCUAGGGGGGGAAGAGGGGGGGAAUUUUGCAAAAGGGGGGGAAGCCUGUUGCAGCAACGCCGGGGGGGGGAUGCGGGCCUUGGGGUUGUAAACCGCUUUCGCCUGGGACGAAGGGGGGGUGACGGUAAUGGGAAAAGAAGCACCGGCUAACUACGU